This 497-nucleotide ribosomal RNA is filed under the name uncultured bacterium. RNAcentral's name for it is "partial 16S ribosomal RNA". It matches the Rfam family "Bacterial small subunit ribosomal RNA", at positions 28 to 507 of the family's 1533-position model. The record is from RNAcentral.
GAUGAACGCUGGCGGCGUGCCUAAUACAUGCAAGUCGAGCGAACGGACGAGAAGCUUGCUUCUCUGAGGUUAGCGGCGGACGGGUGAGUAACACGUGGAUAACCUACCUAUUUUACUGGGAUAACUACGGGAGACCGGAGCUAAUACCAGAGGAUAUUUUGAACCGCAUGGUUCAAAGGUGAAUGACGGUUUUGCUGUCACUUUUAGAUGGUUCCGCGUUGUAUUAGCUAGUUGGUAAGGUAACGGCCCACCAAGGCAACGAUGCAUAGCCGACCUGAGAGGGUGAUCGGCCACACUGGAACUGAGACACGGUCCAGACUCCUACGGGAGGCAGCAGUGGGGAAUCUUCCGCAAUGGGCGCAAGCCUGACGGAGCAACGCCGCGUGAGUGAAGAAGGUCUUCGGAUCGUAAAACUCUGUUAUUAGGGAAGAACAUAUGCGUAAUUAACUGUGGACAUCUUGACGGUACCUAAUCAGAAAGCCACGGCUAACUACGUG